CAGUGAAAUUGAACUCGCUGUGAAGAUGCAGUGUACCCGCGGCAAGACGGAAAGACCCCGUGAACCUUUACUAUAGCUUGACACUGAACAUUGAGCCUUGAUGUGUAGGAUAGGUGGGAGGCUUUGAAGUGUGGACGCCAGUCUGCAUGGAGCCGACCUUGAAAUACCACCCUUUAAUGUUUGAUGUUCUAACGUGGACCCGUGAUCCGGGUUGCGGACAGUGUCUGGUGGGUAGUUUGACUGGGGCGGUCUCCUCCUAAAGAGUAACGGAGGAGCACGAAGGUUGGCUAAUCCUGGUCGGACAUCAGGAGGUUAGUGCAAUGGCAUAAGCCAGCUUGACUGCGAGCGUGACGGCGCGAGCAGGUGCGAAAGCAGGUCAUAGUGAUCCGGUGGUUCUGAAUGGAAGGGCCAUCGCUCAACGGAUAAAAGGUACUCCGGGGAUAACAGGCUGAUACCGCCCAAGAGUUCAUAUCGACGGCGGUGUUUGGCACCUCGAUGUCGGCUCAUCACAUCCUGGGGCUGAAGUAGGUCCCAAGGGUAUGGCUGUUCGCCAUUUAAAGUGGUACGCGAGCUGGGUUUAGAACGUCGUGAGACAGUUCGGUCCCUAUCUGCCGUGGGCGCUGGAGAACUGAGGGGGGCUGCUCCUAGUACGAGAGGACCGGAGUGGACGCAUCACUGGUGUUCGGGUUGUCAUGCCAAUGGCACUGCCCGGUAGCUAAAUGCGGAAGAGAUAAGUGCUGAAAGCAUCUAAGCACGAAACUUGCCCCGA
Molecule: ribosomal RNA, 769 nt
Filed under: Salmonella enterica subsp. enterica serovar Oranienburg
Lineage: Bacteria; Pseudomonadati; Pseudomonadota; Gammaproteobacteria; Enterobacterales; Enterobacteriaceae
Also listed under: 3 other names
Description: partial 23S ribosomal RNA
Rfam family: Bacterial large subunit ribosomal RNA
Source: RNAcentral